This 3309-nucleotide long non-coding RNA is filed under the name Panax ginseng (ginseng). RNAcentral's name for it is "long non-coding RNA (PGIN_LNC016469)". The stretch from base 43 to 349 matches the Rfam family "Plant signal recognition particle RNA". The record is from RNAcentral. Lineage: Eukaryota; Viridiplantae; Streptophyta; Magnoliopsida; Apiales; Araliaceae.
AAGCCUUUACUUUAUAAAUUAAUAUUGUCUCAAUAGCGAGCAGCCGGGCUUAGUAACUUGAGCCUGUAACUCAAGUGAGGGCUAUAGGAUGGUUGAAGGGUUGGUUUGGUCCAGAUGGUUGGGCUAGUUUGGUUUAAUGCAUGGCCUGCCCAUUCAAGUGAGGAGUUUAACCAUGGGUUCUGAGCGAAGGCUCAGAGCUCUCGGUCACUAUAGUGGAGGGUACUGCGCUAGGCUGGUUUCACAGAGCAGCGACCACUUCCCUCUCCUUUCGGUGGAAGGAUUACAGGCCGGUAAUCAGCUACUCCCAUCAAAUAAACCUGAUGGGCCUCCCAAUUCAACAACCAUCUUUUUCCCUAAUCAUGUCUAUUUUUUGUUUUGGGAAAGUAAACUAUCUAUUUCCUUUAAUGUGAUGUCUAUUUUUUGUUUGGGUAAUUUAUUUAAUAUGCUAAUUAAUUAAAUUAUUUAGUUAUAAAAAGCGGUUCACUAAUUAUUAUGUAAACUUGGGCAUGUAUGACAUUAAUUAUGAGCCAAUGGAAUGAAAGGAGUGAAAUCCAAAAAAGUAGGAGCAAAGUAAGGUCCAAGUUGCUUAUUUUUAUUUACGAAAGCUUAAGCUAAUUUAAUCUCAACUUUAUUACUCAGUCCAUAAUAGCAGCCCAAACUCUUGAUACUAAUUGUGUACUUAUGACUAGACUUGGCAAUAUAGUUGGUUAACUAUCAGGUCAACCCAUAUUAAUUGGUAUCAAAUGGGUUGGUUAACUACUUUUAUGGGUUAAUUACAUAUUUUAGUACAUUUUUAGAAAUAAUUACAAUAAUAGUGCAUCCAUAAAAUAAUUACAAAAGUAAUACACUUUUCCAUAAUUAUUUAUAAUAUUAGCAAUUAGGAUUCCUUAAUUUAGGAAAUUAGUAUGCAAUUAGGAUUCCUUAAUUUAGAGGAUUAAUAUAGAUUUACUUUCUCUCUCCACUUGUUUUCGUUUCUUUAAUUCAAAGACUGUAACAUUCAAACUCUCCAUCACUGGUGCAGUUAUGUUAAGGUUGUGCGCCAUGGACACAGUCAAAGCUUUCUAUCCUUUUUCUCACAAAGGCCCCCAUUGAGUAUUCUCUAUAGCAGUUCUUUGUCACUGAAAACCAUGGCGGCCUCUCGACAUCUUCAAUCUGGAAAUAUGAGUUGCCCCAUCCAUAGUUGUCACCCCUUUUUGCCUUUUGAGGCAAAGUGAACUCUUCAAAUUGUUGAUAGUGGUGGAGAAUACUUUUGAAGUAGUUUUUCAUACUAUACUACUACAGCGGAGGCCUGUAGAUUUAGUGGAAAAGCACCAGUAUACAGAGAGAGAAAGUGACAGUGAUGUGAAGGCUGUGCCAGUAGAAUCGGAUGACGAUGGUGGGAGAUCUGUUGGGGAAUUAUUGGGAACGAAUCAGGUUGAAGUGGACAAGAAAGAGGAUGAUAGAUUAAAUAAUGGUGAGGUUUAAAUAAUGGUGGACGAGAAAGAGGAACGAAUCAGGUUGAAGUGGACAAGAAAGAGGAUGAUUAAGUGUGUUAGCUCUUUAAACUUUGACACAAUUGUUCUGUUUCUGAAAAGUGGUAUUACCUACAGUUUUUUCAUAGUGCAGUUGGUAGCCAAUCAUUCAUACCAAGGUAACCAAUUCAGUGUUAUUAAGUUACAAAUUUAUUUUGAAUAUGAUGUAGUUGGUAGCCAAAUCUUCAUGCAGUGGGUAGCCAAACCUUCAUACCAAGGUAACCAAUUCAGUUUUAUUAAGUUACCAAUUUAUUUUGAAUAUUAUGCAGUUGGUUGCCAAACUUUCAGACCAAGGUAACCAAUUCAUACUAUAGGUGUGGAGGUAGAUUGGUUACCUUGGUAUAAAGGUUUAGUUACCUUGGUAUAAAAAUUUGGUUACCUUUUUAAGAAAGUUUGGUUAUCAACAUUACAUUACACAUCACUCUCUUAUCUCUCUCUUUUCUAUGCAAUGUUCUUAUUUUCUUUUGGACAUGAAAUUGGAAUUGAAAUUUUCGGACAUGAAUAAAUUGUGAAAAAUCAAAUAUUCACCUCCUUUCUACAUCUCAUCGACCAUUUUGUGGCUCUGUCUCACCGGCGAAGGGGAGGAGGAAGAUGACCGGCGAAGGGGAAGAGGAAGAUGAUGUUGCCAAACUUUGAAUAUUUGAAUUUGAAUUUGUUUUUGUUGUUAGAUCUAAGAUAUUUAAAUUUGAAUUAUUAAUUAUGACAGUUAUUUCUCCUUGAUUUUAGGUUUCUUUAUUAUUGUGAAUUGAAUCCUAUACUAAUUCCCUAAAUUAAGGAAUCCUAAUUGCACUUAUAUUAUAAAUAAAUAUGAAAAAAUGUAUUAUUUUUGUAAUUAUUUUGUGCAUGCACUAAUAGUGUAAUUACUUACUAAAUAUUGUAUAUUAUUGUAAAGGACCCAAAUUAUUUUUUGGCAAAAAUUGACCCACAUAUUGGUCUCUUUGGAUCCAAAUGUCAUAGAGAAAUAAAGUAAGACAAAAUAAAAAAUAAAAAAAAUCCUUAUGUUGACAUACAAAUUUGAUAAAUAAGAACAGAAAAUUGUAUAUUCUCUCACUUCCCAUAAAAAUAUCUCCUCUUCAAAAUUAAAACUCCCUCAAACAGGUUUUGAUUAUAACGAAAAUGUAUUUAGCCUUUGUCAAUACUGCAAAUUAAGGAGAUGUAUUUAAUUAAGAUUUUUAAUGACUUUUUUUAAGUGACAGACUUUUAUAGAGUUUGUAAAUUUUAAUAACUUUUAAAGACUUUAAAGACUUUUUAAAAAUGACUUUUAUAGACUCCAUGAAAUAAGUGACAGAUUUUAAUAGACAUUUGUAUAUUUCUCAUAUAUCUUGUAGCUUAUAUUAAUUGUUAAUUAGCCCAUGUGUACAACCUCUCACUCUUUUUUCAUGAACUAGAGGAAAUCUCAUUAUUUCAUUAAAUUAUUAUGGCAUGAGAUUUUAUAUAUGUUGAAAGCAUUCAUACUAUUCUACUCAUUUCAUGAUAAAUUUGGAUACUCGAAUACGAAUAAAACUUUAGAAGCUACAAACUCAACACAAAAAUUAAGCUCACUUUUCAUUGAACUAUAUAUGCGUACAAUUUUUUAGUAGGAGUACCAAACUCUAUUUUUCACAAAAUAAUAUGACAAAGAAAUUCUAUAUGAUCGCAAAACUUCAUACAUGUGAGUAAAUUGACACCAAAUUUUAAAAAAUUUACCAGAUAGUUUUUUGUCGUCGGUAAGCCACAAACAAAAUUGUCAGAGAGAUUUAAUUUUUCUUAAAAUUAUUAAUAGUUGUUAGUGAACCAAAAUUGACCGUUAAAAAAAUAA